RNAcentral lists this unclassified non-coding RNA (532 nucleotides) under Hevea brasiliensis (rubber tree). Lineage: Eukaryota; Viridiplantae; Streptophyta; Magnoliopsida; Malpighiales; Euphorbiaceae. The record is from RNAcentral.
GAAAAUGGUAUCAUCAAUAAUUCACUAUUCCCACCUUCAUAUAUUUUACUAGAAAACCCUAAUCAAUACAAAUCCUAACUCCAAAAGCUACGCAGAACAAAUUUUUUUUGCUAACUAAUACUAAAUAAGAAUUAAAUUUACCAAUAUAAAGCAAGUACCAAAACUUAGAAACUUCAUAAACAGAUACCAAAUGUAAAUGCAGGAAAAUAGAACACAUCGGAAUUUCGAAUCUAACCUUUUCAAUACUAUAAGAUCCCAAAUAUAAAACCCAAUGCCAACUGCACUAAAUCCAAAUAAUUGACAAAAUUAAAUCAUUCAAUUACUAAAACAAAAAAAUAAAAAAAUACAACAGAGCUCAUGAAAAUGGCGAAAUUUUCCUUCCCUCAGUUUUCCCCAAAUUUCCCAGCAGCCAACUAAAAAAUAGGGUUUUGGACUAGAAUUGAUCAAUUUUGACUUUAAAAAUCACGAUCAAGGAAAUGAAGCAGAGAAAUUAAAGUGAAUUUGAUAUACCUGAGAAAGCGAGAAAAGAGAA